This 204-nucleotide ribosomal RNA is filed under the name uncultured Leptolinea sp. Its description in RNAcentral is "partial 16S ribosomal RNA". It matches the Rfam family "Bacterial small subunit ribosomal RNA", at positions 1179 to 1382 of the family's 1533-position model. Lineage: Bacteria; Bacillati; Chloroflexota; Anaerolineae; Anaerolineales; Anaerolineaceae. The record is from RNAcentral.
AUGACGUCAAGUCAGCAUGGCCUUUAUGUCCUGGGCUACACACACGCUACAAUGGCCAACACAAUAGGUUGCUAAGCCGCGAGGUGGAGCCAAUCCUCAAAGUUGGUCUCAGUUCAGAUUGCAGGCUGCAACCCGCCUGCAUGAAGAUGGAGUUGCUAGUAACCGCAGGUCAGCAAUACUGCGGUGAAUACGUUCCCGGGUCUU